This 565-nucleotide long non-coding RNA is filed under the name Pan troglodytes (chimpanzee). RNAcentral describes it as "long non-coding RNA NONPTRT013849". The record is from RNAcentral. Lineage: Eukaryota; Metazoa; Chordata; Mammalia; Primates; Hominidae.
GGGUGUGGGUAAGGGUGUAGGUGGGGGUGUGUGGGUGAGGGUGUGGGUGGGGGGGGUGUGGGUGAGGGUGUGCAGGUGAGGGUGUGAGUGCCUGUCUGGCUCUCGACUUCAGGCCCAAGGAGGAUACUAAGGCUUCAGGCGGACACCCAGGCCUCACGUGGAUAUCAGGUCUUAGGUGAAACUCAGGCUCUGGGAAGUUUGGUUUAAAAGAAUGCUAAGAUCCAGUAAACCACUCUAACCAUGCUACUGUCAUCCCUGGAAGCAGCAGUGUCAUGUAAGGUGGGGUGGUACAUCAGAGAUGGGAGGGACAGAGGAGAGAGUUUAUAUGGAAUGAUUGUGGAUGUCUUUGGGAGUGUGUGUGCAUUUCCCCAGAAAACACACUCCCAUCUGCAAAGCACAACAUGAGGAUCAAUGUUCAAGAAAAAUUCCAUCACCACUGCACAGUUUGCAUAAAUCAACCCAUUCAUCCUCCACCACAGCUGUACCUGAAGAUAAGUUUAAUAUCCCCAGUCCUCAGAUGGACAUGCUGCAGAGUUGAAUUUCCCAAGCUCUUGGUCUUUUAAAU